GGCAGAGUGGAGCAGUGGUAGCUCGCGAGGCUCAUAACCUUGAGGUCGCCGGUCCGAGUCCGGCCUCUGCAACCA
Molecule: transfer RNA, 75 nt
Filed under: Ruminococcus flavefaciens
Lineage: Bacteria; Bacillati; Bacillota; Clostridia; Eubacteriales; Oscillospiraceae
Description: tRNA-Met
Rfam family: tRNA
About the family: Transfer RNA (tRNA) molecules are approximately 80 nucleotides in length.
Source: RNAcentral